AAAGCGUGCGCAGGCGGUUUUGUAAGUCUGAUGUGAAAUCCCCGGGCUCAACCUGGGAACUGCAUUUGUGACUGCAUGGCUAGAGUACGGUAGAGGGGGAUGGAAUUCCGCGUGUAGCAGUGAAAUGCGUAGAUAUGCGGAGGAACACCGAUGGCGAAGGCAAUCCCCUGGACCUGUACUGACGCUCAUGCACGAAAGCGUGGGGAGCAAACAGGAUUAGAUACCCCAGU
RNAcentral lists this ribosomal RNA (230 nucleotides) under uncultured bacterium. Its description in RNAcentral is "partial 16S ribosomal RNA". It matches the Rfam family "Bacterial small subunit ribosomal RNA", at positions 562 to 791 of the family's 1533-position model. The record is from RNAcentral.